AAAGGAAUAGACGGGGACCCGCACAAGCAGUGGAGUAUGUUGCUUAAUUCGACGCAACGCGAAGAACCUUACCAAGGCUUGACAUCCUACUAACGAAGUAGAGAUACAUUAGGUGUCCUUUUAGGAAAAGUAGAGACAGGUGGUGCAUGGUUGUCGUCAGCUCGUGUCGUGAGAUGUUGGGUUAAGUCCCGCAACGAGCGCAACCCUUGUGGUUAGUUGCUACGCAAGAGCACUCUAGCCAGACUGCCGUUGACAAAACGGAGGAAGGUGGGGACGACGUCAAAUCAUCAUGCCCUUUAUGUCUUGGGCUGCAAACGUACUACAAUGGCGAUCAACAGAGGGCUGCGACCCCGCGAGGGUGAGCCAAUCCCCAAAAGUCGCCCCAGUUCAGAUUGCAGGCUGCAACCCGCCUGCAUGAAGCCGGAAUUGCUAGUAAUCGCAGAUCAGCAUGCUGCGGUGAAUACGUUCCCGGGUCUUGUACACACCGCCCGU
Molecule: ribosomal RNA, 492 nt
Filed under: uncultured bacterium
Lineage: Bacteria
Description: bacterial SSU rRNA
Rfam family: Bacterial small subunit ribosomal RNA
Source: RNAcentral